GUUUAAUUAGGGGCAAACCAAAAUUCAAUAUUUCACCUCAAUACAUAUAUGGCUAUUUACUAGAGACUAAUUAUAAAAAAUGAUUAAAAAUCAAUCUGUGAUUUGUUUCUAACAAAAUUGUAUUGAACUCAUUAUUCCUACCACACUUCUUUCACAUAGGACUAUAGGAGCAAACCAGAAUUGAAGCUCAUAGCUUGCUUCUACACUGUUGAGGUAUAUGACCUGAAUUCACAAUCUAGCUCCUUCAUUUCUCAAGAUAGGGUUUAUUUGAAGCCAUGGGAAUCAAAAACGGGAUCGCUCUCGCGUGGAUGGCAGGUUACCGCAAGUUAUGGUGCGAAUCGGAUUCCAAACGAGCCUUCAAUCUCCUCAAGGAAGGGUCUCGGAGGGGUUUUCAUGGCGCUUCUACAAUUGAGAUUCAUGACAAUGAGGAACUUACAUGCGGUGCUAUUCUUCUCCUGCACUCGAAUGAAGCCCUCCUUGCUGACAAGAACACCGUGAUUUUCCUCCGCUAAGUUCUCUUAUCUUUUCUUUGAAUUAGGGUUUUGUUUAUCUGGAAUCGAAUUAGGUUUAUUUGCUUUAAUAAUUUUAUUGUGUUUUGGAACCAAUCACAGUGUUUUUACCUAUUGAUAUGAAGGCAAAGAUUUUGGUA
Non-coding RNA from Arachis ipaensis, 649 nucleotides. The record is from RefSeq and is a predicted model, not a curated record. NCBI's taxonomy places the organism in Eukaryota, Viridiplantae, Streptophyta, Magnoliopsida, Fabales, Fabaceae.